CAAUAGCGUAUAUUAACGUUGUUGCAGUUAAAAAGCUCGUAGUUGGAUUUCUGGAGGGAGCGUCGGCCCGUAUGUACGAGUGCGUGACGUCUCUGUCCAUCCUUGCGGGAAGGCACGGCAUUGAUUUGUUGUGUCGGAUCGCAUCAUUUACUGUGAAAAAAUUAGAGUGUUCAAAGCAGGCUUUCGCUUGAAUACAUUAGCAUGGAAUAAUAAGAUAGGACUUUGGUGCUAUUUUGUUGGUUGAGCCUAAAGUAAUGAUUAAUAGGGAUAGUUGGGGGCACCUGUAUUGCGUUGUCAGAGGUGAAAUUCUUGGAUUUACGCAAGACAAACAGCUGCGAAAGCGUCUGCCAAGGAUGUUUUCAUUAA
Molecule: ribosomal RNA, 366 nt
Filed under: uncultured eukaryote
Lineage: Eukaryota
Description: partial 18S ribosomal RNA
Rfam family: Eukaryotic small subunit ribosomal RNA
Source: RNAcentral